GUGUUCGCUUCAGCAGCACAUAUAUUAAAAGUUCAACAAUACAAAGAUUUGCAUGGCCCAUACAAGAAUGAUCUGCAAAUUCAUGAAGCAUUCCAUAUUUUG
Mustela putorius furo (domestic ferret) is the source of this 102-nucleotide small nuclear RNA. The record is from Ensembl. NCBI's taxonomy places the organism in Eukaryota, Metazoa, Chordata, Mammalia, Carnivora, Mustelidae.